Molecule: non-coding RNA, 312 nt
Organism: Rattus norvegicus (Norway rat)
Lineage: Eukaryota; Metazoa; Chordata; Mammalia; Rodentia; Muridae
Source: RefSeq, a predicted model, not a curated record
UCACAAACAGCUGGUUUCUUUCCAGCUCCAAGGUUGGAGGACCUAUCUACACGUUGGAGGACUCAGAAAGUACGACUCAAUGAGCCUGUCGCUCUUGAACCCGUGACAAGAAAACUGGCUUCCUAUUGGUCAAUAUUACAGAGGCCCGCCCAGCAACUUCCGGACGCUUUCUUUAAGUUAAAGCCACACGGCGGUUCCGGUCUCUUAGCCACGGGGAUAGCUCUAAGGUCUGCCCUGCGCAGGACAGCAGAUAGCGUGAGCUUCUACAUACAACCUUUCCCCCAAGCCUCUGAAUAAAGUGCUUCAACAACA